Molecule: ribosomal RNA, 595 nt
Filed under: Pouzarella sp. XLH-2016a
Lineage: Eukaryota; Fungi; Basidiomycota; Agaricomycetes; Agaricales; Entolomataceae
Description: partial small subunit ribosomal RNA
Rfam family: Bacterial small subunit ribosomal RNA
Source: RNAcentral
AGUCAAUGCUCGCAAGAGUGAACUAGCUAACUGAAAUCACAGGAUCCAUUUAUCUGGUGAAUGUAAUAACGUAAGGGAAAAAAAUGAUAUUACCUUACUAUUAGUGUUGUCCAAAACUGGUGCCAGAAGACUCGGUAAGGCCAGAGACGCAAACGUUAGUCGUCCUAAUCAGGCGUAAAGGGUAUGUAGGCUGCUUUAAAAGUUUAAUAAUUAAUAUCUAGGUAAUAAAUUAAGUAGAAUAAAAUUGCUUAAUUUCUCUUAUGUAAAAAUUAGAUGAAUUAAAGCUAGAAUCAAAUUGAGGAUAAUUAAAUAAUACUUAGUGUAGGGUUUAAAUCUGAUGAUACUAGGGGGAGUACUAACGGUGAAAGCUUUUAUCUAGAAAUGAUUGACGCUGAGAAACGAAGGUGAGAAUAGGAAAUAGGAUUAGAUACCCAGAUACCUCUCACAGUCAACGAUGAAUGGUGGUUGUUAGUUAGUUUUAUUUAACUGAUAACGAUGUUAACACGAUAACCAUUCCGCCUUGCGAGUACGGUUGCAAAACUGAAACCAAAAAAAUUAGUCGGUCUCGAAGCAAACGAAGUGAAGCAUGUUAUUU